This 555-nucleotide ribosomal RNA is filed under the name Triticum aestivum (bread wheat). RNAcentral describes it as "partial small subunit ribosomal RNA". The record is from RNAcentral. Lineage: Eukaryota; Viridiplantae; Streptophyta; Magnoliopsida; Poales; Poaceae.
AUGGAGGACCUACCGGAGGCUCUGGUGACAGAGAUUCUCAAGAGCAUCACCAGGACAAGUGAUCUGAAUUCUCUUUCCCUCGUCUCAAAGCAGCUCUACAAGAUAGAGGGGAAUCAAAGGGAUGAUAUCCAUGUCGGUUCCGGUCUUUGCACUGCUACAGAAGCACUAACAUCACUGUGCGCCAGGUUCACAAAUUUGCGGAAAUUGGAAAUCGAUUACUCUGGUUGGAUAACUGGACAUGGAAAGCAGUUGGACAACAAAGGCCUUUCUGUGUUUUCAUCUCACUGUUCCUCGCUGACUGACCUCACCUUAAGCUUCUGCUCAUGCAUCGAUGACUCUGGGCUUGGUUCUUUUGCUUAUUGCAAGACAUUGGUGUCUCUCAGGCUGAACUCCGCACCAAAAAUAACGUCAUAUGGGCUUCUCUCGGUUGCAGUUGGUUGUACAAGUCUAUCUGCUCUCCACCUUAUUGAUUGCGAGAAAAUCGACAGUGUAGAGUGGCUGGAAUACCUUGGUAGUGAUGGAUCGUUGGAAGAGCUUGUAGUGAAGAAUUGCAAA